This 279-nucleotide unclassified non-coding RNA is filed under the name Hevea brasiliensis (rubber tree). Lineage: Eukaryota; Viridiplantae; Streptophyta; Magnoliopsida; Malpighiales; Euphorbiaceae. The record is from RNAcentral.
AAGAGAGGUGGAAAUCCAUUUGAAUGUGAUACAAAAGAUAGAAAUCAGCCAUGGAAUAUUCCAGAAUAUGAGUCCCUCGAUUUCCUUGAUGACAAAGGAAAUGAAACUAUCGACUCUGAUUCGCCUUUUACCUCUCACUCCGAGUUGUUUGAGAAUAACAAACAUUUUUAUUCUGAUAAAGGGGUCACCGAUCACGAGCUUUCUGAAUUGACAGUUUGCUAUCGAGAGAACAACUUUAACAUAGUUAAAGAUAUAUGUAUGGAUGAGGGUGUACCUGCA